AUAUGACACUUUUAAAAGAUAGUUUAUGAAUGAUGAAAUUCAAAACAUAUUUUGCAUAAGAUAAAUUGUAGCAUAACAUGAUUAUUUUCAUUUUAUAUGUUCUUUAUAAUUCGUUCAAAGAUGGAAAAAAAUUUUCCUUGACAGCUCUAAGAUAAAGAUUAACUUGCGGAGAUAUGGGAUUCAGAAAUAUCAAGUCUGUCAAUUUUACUUCCUAGUCUUCAAUCUUCCUUUGACUGCUAUGUUUUUUCAGGAGACAUCUGGGAAUGCAAUGUGGAAAUCCCACGCAUGCAGCAAAUUAAAGGACGUCUGCUAGCUCAGGCAAAUCAAAGCACGUUUGCUUCGUCAUCGGAGCAGACGAUCGAUCGUAGCGCAUGGCUUUUGACUCAGUGCUGUCGUCUAAGCACGUCUGCGUCGUCGGCGCUGGGCCCACCGGCCUCGUCUCCGCCCGUGAGCUCCUCAGGGAAGGCCACUCCGUCGUCGUGCUAGAGCAGAACCACGACCUCGGCGGCCAGUGGCUCUACCAAGCCGCCUCCGCCACGGCCACAGUCCACAGCAGCGUCUACGCUUCCUUGCGCCUCAACGCCCCUAGAAUUUACAUGGAGUUCACCGACUUCAUGUUCACUCCCGUCGAAGGAAGAGACACCAGGAACUUCCCCGGCCACCGCGAGCUCUUCCUCUACCUCAAAGACUUCGCCCGAUGUUUCGGGUUGACCGAGCUCAUCAGGCUCAACACGGAAGUAGUCCACGUCGGCAUGGCGGCAGAAACUGGCAAAUGGAUUGUGAGAUCAAGGGACAGGAGAACUGAUGACGGUGAGUUCAUGGAAGAGAUCUUUGAUGCGGUUGUCAUCGCCACCGGCCAUUUCUCCCUACCCAGGCUCCCAAAAAUCAGGGGAAUGGAGGAGUGGAAGAGGAAGCAGCUUCACAGCCAUGUCUACAGAGUCCCAGAGCCAUUCCAAGAUGAGGUGGUGGUGGUCGUUGGUGGUUCACUCAGUGGAUCAGAGAUUGCUCUGGAGCUUGUUCAUGUAGCCAAAGAAGUCCAUAUAAGUACUAAACACUCCGAAAUCCCUCAAAAAUUUGUGAAGCCUGUGGCCAAGUAUGCACAUCUGCUCUGGCAUCAACAGAUUGAGUUGCUUUGUGAAGAUGGAACUGUUCUAUUUGCUGAUGGUUCAAGUGUAGUUGCUGAUACUAUUCUCUACUGCACUGGGUAUUCAUAUUCAUUCCCAUUCCUGGACACCAAAGGAGUCAUCCAUGUGGAUGAGAACAGAAUUGGACCUUUGUAUGAACACACAUUUCCUCCCUCUCUCGCUCCAUCCCUUUCUUUUGUUGGGAUUCCAAACAAGUUUAUCAUCUUUCGAUUUUUUGAGUCACAAGGGAGAUGGAUAGCUCAGGUGCUCUCUGGGAAGAGGAAGCUGCCUUCGGCAGAUGAGAUGAUGAAGGCAAUCGAAGAAGUCGAACGCCAUCAAGAGCUUGAGGAACCAAAAAAUUUCAUACAAGUAAUUGCUGAAUUAUUGGAGUACUAUGAUAGGUAUGGAGAUCAAUGUGAUUUUCCACACUUGGAAGAUUGGAGAAAAGAGAUCAGUCUGAAGUUCUUCGAAAAUAGCAUAAACAAUAUUGAAACAUUCAGGGAUGAAUAGUAAGGAUGCUAAUUCAACAGCGGAGAUAUCUGGGAAGCCAAUCCUACUUCUUCUGAGUGGCCAUCGCUACAAAAUCCACAUCGAAGACACUCGAUUCAUCGAGUCAAAUGUGGCUGCUAUAAUAUUCCCUUCGAAGAAGAUUGUAUGUGAUACCGAUAAGGUGGAGAUCACACGCAUGCAGCAAAUUAAAGGUUUGCGUCGUCAUCGGAGCAGACGAUCGAUCGAUGCCCAUGGCUGUUGACUCAUUGCAGUCGUCUAAGCAGGUCUGCGUCGUCGGCGCUGGCCCCUCUGGUCUCAUCUCUGCCCGUGAGCUCCUCAAGGAAGGCCACUCCGUCGUCGUGCUGGAGCAGAACCACGACCUUGGCGGCCAGUGGCUCUAC
RNA transcript from Zingiber officinale, 2014 nucleotides. It is a transcript of the gene named flavin-containing monooxygenase FMO GS-OX-like 8, with no coding region annotated. The record is from RefSeq and is a predicted model, not a curated record. The transcript has 9 exons. Lineage: Eukaryota; Viridiplantae; Streptophyta; Magnoliopsida; Zingiberales; Zingiberaceae.